GUCUAUGGCCAUACCACCCUGAAUGUGCCCAGUCUCAUCUGAUCUUGGAAGAUAAGCAGGGCUGGACCUGGUUAGUGCUUGGAUGGGAGAACUGCAGCUAUGUGGCAAAGUCA
Ribosomal RNA from Cricetulus griseus (Chinese hamster), 113 nucleotides. Lineage: Eukaryota; Metazoa; Chordata; Mammalia; Rodentia; Cricetidae. The record is from Ensembl.